UCCUAUUUUCAUGAUGUUUUUUCUCGUUUUAUCCUUAUAUGUUGUCCUACAAUAAAAUAUAGAAAAUAGCUCAGAUUAAAUAGCAUAACAUCAAGUUUAGCAACCCAAAAAUGGAUGAAAAUGAUGUUGUUUUAAGGCACUAUUGAAGCGCCCCACACUUAUCUUGUGUUUUCUCUCAAGUACUACACUGUACACUCCAUCA
This 202-nucleotide long non-coding RNA is filed under the name Carica papaya (papaya). RNAcentral's name for it is "long non-coding RNA (CPAP_LNC005511)". The record is from RNAcentral. Lineage: Eukaryota; Viridiplantae; Streptophyta; Magnoliopsida; Brassicales; Caricaceae.